RNAcentral lists this ribosomal RNA (251 nucleotides) under uncultured prokaryote. RNAcentral's name for it is "partial 16S ribosomal RNA". It matches the Rfam family "Bacterial small subunit ribosomal RNA", at positions 525 to 775 of the family's 1533-position model. The record is from RNAcentral.
ACGUAGGGGGCAAGCGUUGAUCGGAAUCACUGGGCUUAAAGGGUGCGCAGGCUGGCCCGAAAGCGUCUUGUGAAAGCCCCCGGCUCAACCGGGGAACAGCGGGGCGAACUUCGGGUCUUGAGGCAGGUAGGGGCGGAUGGAACUGUCGGUGGAGUGGUGAAAUGCGUAGAGAUCCGGAGGAACACCAGAGGCGAAGGCGAUUCGCUGGGCCUACUCUGACGCUCAGACGCGACAGCACGGGGAGCGAGCGG